CAGCCGCCACGGUAAUACGUAGGUGGCAAGCGUUGUCCGGAAUUAUUGGGCGUAAAGGGCUCGCAGGCGGUUUCUUAAGUCUGAUGUGAAAGCCCCCGGCUCAACCGGGGAGGGUCAUUGGAAACUGGGAAACUUGAGUGCAGAAGAGGAGAGUGGAAUUCCACGUGUAGCGGUGAAAUGCGUAGAGAUGUGGAGGAACACCAAUGGCGAAGGCGACUCUCUGGUCUGUAACUGACGCUGAGGAGCGAAAGCGUGGGGAGCGAACAGGAUUAGAUACCCCAGUAGUCCCUGUCUCUUAUAA
RNAcentral lists this ribosomal RNA (301 nucleotides) under uncultured bacterium. RNAcentral describes it as "partial 16S ribosomal RNA". It matches the Rfam family "Bacterial small subunit ribosomal RNA", at positions 509 to 809 of the family's 1533-position model. The record is from RNAcentral.